AGCGAACGCUGGCGGCAGGCCUAACACAUGCAAGUCGAGCGCCCCGCAAGGGGAGCGGCAGACGGGAGAGUAACACGUGGGAACGUACCCUUUGGUUCGGAACAACCCAGGGAAACUUGGGCUAAUACCGGAUAAGCCCUUACGGGGAAAGAUUCAUCGCCGAAGGAUCGGCCCGCGUCUGAUUAGCUAGUUGGAGGGGUAACGGCCCAUCAAGGCGACGAUCAGUAGCUGGUCUGAGAGGAUGAUCAGCAUCACUGGGACUGAGACACGGCCCAGACUCCUACGGGAGGGAGCAGUGGGGAAUAUUGCACAAUGGGCGAAAGCCUGAUGCAGCAACGCCGCGUGAGCGAUGAAGGCCUUUGGGUCGUAAAGCUCUGUCCUUGGGGAAGAAACAAAUGACGGUACCCAAGGAGGAAGCCCCGGCUAACUACGUGCCAGCCGCCGCAGUAA
This 450-nucleotide ribosomal RNA is filed under the name uncultured bacterium. RNAcentral describes it as "partial 16S ribosomal RNA". It matches the Rfam family "Bacterial small subunit ribosomal RNA", at positions 29 to 523 of the family's 1533-position model. The record is from RNAcentral.